CACUCCUACGGGAGGCAGCAGUGGGGAAUAUUGCACCAUGGGCGCAAGCCUGAUGCAGCGACGCCGCGUGGGGGAUGAAGGCCUUCGGGUUGUAAACUCCUUUCGCUAGGGACGAAGCUUUUUUGUGACGGUACCUAGAUAAGAAGCACCGGCUAACUACGUGCCAGCAGCCGCGGUAAUACGUAGGGUGCGAGCGUUGUCCGGAAUUACUGGGCGUAAAGGGCUCGUAGGUGGUUUGUCGCGUCGUCUGUGAAAUUCUGGGGCUUAACUCCGGGCGUGCAGGCGAUACGGGCAUAACUUGAGUGCUGUAGGGGUAACUGGAAUUCCUGGUGUAGCGGUGAAAUGCGCAGAUAUCAGGAGGAACACCGAUGGCGAAGGCAGGUUACUGGGCAGUUACUGACGCUGAGGAGCGAAAGCAUGGGUAGCGAACAGGAUUAGAAACCCCUGUAGUCC
This 453-nucleotide ribosomal RNA is filed under the name uncultured organism. Its description in RNAcentral is "partial 16S ribosomal RNA". It matches the Rfam family "Bacterial small subunit ribosomal RNA", at positions 334 to 796 of the family's 1533-position model. The record is from RNAcentral.